CAGCUCUUCAGCCACUGAAUUAAUAUCCAGACGUGGAGUGUUUUCACGAAAUCAUUACGGAUCAGUAGACCAGUUGCCUCAGUCCGAAUUAGAUGGGAUUGAUCCAAAUUUUAAGCGAUUCCGUGUGGAGACUGGAGAUUCGCUUGCUGAAAAAGAUGAGGUCUUUGGCUCGCCUAGCACACCGAUAUUGGAAAAUCCUGAACAUCAAACACGUUGGUAUUUUAAAUAUUUCCUCG
Molecule: long non-coding RNA, 236 nt
Organism: Teleopsis dalmanni
Lineage: Eukaryota; Metazoa; Arthropoda; Insecta; Diptera; Diopsidae
Exons: 3
Source: RefSeq, a predicted model, not a curated record